This 620-nucleotide ribosomal RNA is filed under the name uncultured Verrucomicrobiota bacterium. RNAcentral's name for it is "bacterial SSU rRNA". It matches the Rfam family "Bacterial small subunit ribosomal RNA", at positions 77 to 680 of the family's 1533-position model. The record is from RNAcentral. Lineage: Bacteria; Pseudomonadati; Verrucomicrobiota.
UAGCAAUACAGUGGAAAGUCUAGUGGCGAACGGGUGCUUAACACGUGGGCAACCUGCCAAGAAGUGGGGGAUAGCUCGCCGAAAGGCGAAUUAAUACCGCAUGUGAUCAGAGAGGACAUCCUUUCGAAAUUAAAGGUGGCGCAAGCUACCGCUUCUUGUGGGGCCCGCGGCCUAUCAGCUAGUUGGUGAGGUAACUGCUCACCAAGGCGAUGACGGGUAGCUGGUCUGAGAGGACGACCAGCCACACUGGGACUGAGACACGGCCCAGACACCUACGGGUGGCAGCAGUCGAGAAUUUUUGACAAUGGGGGAAACCCUGAUCGAGCGACGCCGCGUGGAGGAUGAAGGUCUUCGGAUUGUAAACUCCUGUCAUUGGGGAACAAUGUCCCGCCAUUAACUGUGGCGGGAUUGAUAGUACCCGAAGAGGAAGAGACGGCUAACUCUGUGCCAGCAGCCGCGGUAAUACAGAGGUCUCAAGCGUUGUUCGGAUUCAUUGGGCGUAAAGGGUGCGUAGGCGGCGCGGUAAGUCGGGUGUGAAAUCACGGAGCUUAACUCCGAAACUGCAUUCGAUACUGCCGUGCUUGAGGACUGGAGAGGAGACUGGAAUUCUCGGUGUAGCA